Mus pahari (shrew mouse) is the source of this 134-nucleotide small nuclear RNA. RefSeq annotates it as U4 spliceosomal RNA. The transcript has a single exon. The record is from RefSeq and is a predicted model, not a curated record. Lineage: Eukaryota; Metazoa; Chordata; Mammalia; Rodentia; Muridae.
AGCUUUGCGCAGUGGCAGUAUCGUAGUCAGUGAGGUUUAUCCGAGGCACAAUUAUUGCUAAAAACUAUGAAUGCAUGUAAACUGUUAUCGAUAGUCAUGUAAAUAUACUGUCAUUUUAAAAAUGAUUUGUAUUA